GGGGCUGACAUGGAUUUGACAGCAGGACAAAGUGGUAUGUAAGCAUGCCGAGCCUUGAGAUAACAGCUCGUAAAUCUCGAAUCUCGAAUUUAUAACUGGCGAAAAUAAUUACGCUCUCGCUGCCUAACCGAAGUACAGUAAGUUAGCAUAUCCUUGCUCAAGGAGCUUGGACGAGACAUCUCCCAAGUGCCAUUUCCUGAAGCGGCUUGAAACGGAGGUGCUGGAAAAUCGGGAAUAGCAGGCCGACAGUCUUGGUUUGCCCGCGAAAAUAAAAAGACUAAGGAAAAGUCAGGGUGUCUGUUCCCAUGCUUUUCACGAAAAUCAAUAACCGAAUAAGCAUGUAGAAAGCGUAUGGCUUGCCUGUUUGGACGAGGGUUCGAUCC
Molecule: transfer-messenger RNA, 383 nt
Filed under: Cytophagaceae bacterium
Lineage: Bacteria; Pseudomonadati; Bacteroidota; Cytophagia; Cytophagales; Cytophagaceae
Description: partial transfer-messenger RNA
Rfam family: transfer-messenger RNA
About the family: Bacterial tmRNA, also known as 10Sa RNA or SsrA, is named for its dual tRNA and mRNA-like properties. Its role is to liberate the mRNA from a stalled ribosome.
Source: RNAcentral